GAUGAAGAACGCAGCGAAAUGCGAUAAGUAAUGUGAAUUGCAGAAUUCAGUGAAUCAUCGAAUCUUUGAACGCACAUUGCGCCCCCUGGUAUUCCGGGGGGCAUGCCUGUCCGAGCGUCAUUAUAACCCCUCAAGCUCAGCUUGGUGUUGGGGCCUGCUGCACUGGCAGCCCUUAAAAUCAGUGGCGGCGCCAUCUGGCUCUAAGCGUAGUAAUUCUUCUCGCUAUGGAGUCCUGGUGGAUGCUUGCCAUCAACCCCCAAUUUUUCUAUGGUUGACCUCGGAUCAGGUAGGGAUACCCGCUGAACUUAAGCAUAUCAAUAAGCGGAGGA
RNAcentral lists this unclassified non-coding RNA (329 nucleotides) under soil metagenome. RNAcentral describes it as "partial contains 5.8S ribosomal RNA, internal transcribed spacer 2, and large subunit ribosomal RNA". The stretch from base 1 to 120 matches the Rfam family "5.8S ribosomal RNA", at positions 35 to 154 of the family's 154-position model. The record is from RNAcentral.